UUUUGUUUUAAGUUUUCAUUAUUCCUGACAAUAACCUUUAGGAGUCAGCACAGUAAAGGCUUCUUGCUCUUACUCCUGUGAUAGUCUAACCAAACGCUUCUCGAGGUGUUUUGGCAAAUAGAGAAAUGGUUCUUUUGUUACCAGUAUUUUACCAACUAUCAGCUAAUACUCUUUAAGGACAUAUUUUGACCACAUUCUCUAUUCAAGUGGCUUGCAGAACUAAGCUGAAACAGUUAUCUAAUAUUACAAGAUGAUGAAGAGGAGCUUAAAAAUACCCCAGUGCAAGCCAUGCAAGCAGCUGAAUGGUCCUUUUUCUUUUCUUUUCUUUUCCAGAUAAGUCUCUGUUAAAGACAGCUUUACCUUACCCCUCAGGAAUGUUCUGUUUGAAGCAGACCCAGCUAAUCCGUGAACAGAGAUCAACAAUUAAAGCUCUUGGGCAUUGACUUUUGCUCAGGAAACAGGGGAGCUGAAGCUGAGUAAACAAGAUGAGUAUAUUUGCAGCAGCUGGCUGUGUGCUCUACAGAAAUUGGCAAUCAUGUUUUGGGGCCAAGCUGAGGCAGAGGAUGUGGAGGGCUUGGAAUUGAGGACUGAGGAGUACUUUUUGCUUAUUUGACAUAAUACCAUAGCAACAAGCUAUUAUGUUGCAGAAGGUAAACCAAACAAAGAACUGUAGGCAGAUCUCUGUGAUAAAAAUGAACUAUUUUUUAUCCCAACUAUUGCAGUAAAAAGCAAAGAGUUGACAGUGUUAAGCACUAUUGUUAGCCAACUCAACUCCUUUAAAAAUAUGACUGAGAAAAAAUA
Molecule: long non-coding RNA, 801 nt
Filed under: Anser brachyrhynchus (Pink-footed goose)
Lineage: Eukaryota; Metazoa; Chordata; Aves; Anseriformes; Anatidae
Description: lncRNA (ENSABRG00000000013.1)
Source: RNAcentral